This 253-nucleotide ribosomal RNA is filed under the name uncultured bacterium. Its description in RNAcentral is "partial 16S ribosomal RNA". It matches the Rfam family "Bacterial small subunit ribosomal RNA", at positions 524 to 776 of the family's 1533-position model. The record is from RNAcentral.
GACAGAGGGGGCAAGCGUUGCUCGGAAUUACUGGGCGUAAAGGGCGCGUAGGCGGGAUGGCAAGUCGGUCGUGAAAUCCUUCGGCUCAACCGAAGAACGUCGAUCGAUACUGCUGUUCUUGAGGGUUGCAGAGGAGACUGGAAUUCCUGGUGUAGCGGUGGAAUGCGCAGAUAUCAGGAGGAACACCGAUGGCGAAGGCAGGUCUCUGGGCCAUUACUGACACUGAGAAGCGAAAGCAUGGGGAGCGAACAGG